ACAAAACCUGCGAGAUUAACUGGCACAGUUGGAGCAAAUGCGUUCUUUCAAGUAAAUGUUAUCAGUGUUUGCUUGCCUAUUUAUUCUACAGAAUAUGUUCAUGUACCCGUGGAUUCCAUUUUUAUUUUAGAAAAGGAAUGGAAGAGAUGGAAGAUGUUGUUGUUUUUCUGCAAGAAACUAUGCUUACAAGUCUUAUUUUCCGGGAGGGGAGAUUUCUAAUUGGGGGAAUAAGUUUAGGGUUUGCAGUUUGUGUUGAGAAAGCUGGGUGGUUGAUACGAUUCAUGGAGGUUUAAAUGUUCUGGAUGACUGGGGUGGGGGUGGGGAAUCCAGCCGGCGUAAGUAAGAAAGACGCCUCACUUCAUGAGUCACUGGGGAAAUGUCUGGAGUGAAGAGUAAUUGAUAAUGUUGAGGAAAACCUAUGGAAUCUGCCCGUUAGGUUGGCGCUUCAUUCCUUCCCUCCUUAGAGCUCACGGGAGGCUUCUCCUCACACUUGUCACAGUUUGAUUUUGAACCUAGAUAUGAAGCUAAUAGUUUCUAACGGUUUUUCAACUGCCACUGAAUCAAAUUACUGAAGUAGAAAGGACCGGUUGACAUUCCUGCUUUAAAGUGACCGAAUGUCCAUGUCCUAGGUAGGCGGCUCAAAUAUCUGCCAGGUUUUGAAGGCGAUUCAGAGUGUCAUGUACAGUAGAGCAGAGGCCAAGAAAACUGACUUUAUUGAAUGAAGGCCACAUGCGUGAAACAAGGACACAAGAGAUUCUCACACUUACAAGCACUUGUCUACUUGGCUUCAGAGAGGAGCCCGUUUGCAGUGAUGCUCCUCAGACAUUGGCACAACUUAAGCAUAUGCACGCGAGGUGCCUGUGGUGACAGCUUUUCAGUAAUUUCAUUACAGGGAUCUUGUUGAAAAAGAGGGUGCUCCAGUAGCGAAAGCCUUCCUCUACCAGAUCCAUCUCAGCUACAGUAUAUUGCACAUAAAUUUCUUCCUGGAUUCUUGAAAUGGUUUCUUUCAUCCAGCCUCGAGCCCCCUGUGGAAGGUCUUGGAAAUCAGAAAGGUUUAAGUUGUGUAGAUUGAGCUCUGGGGAAGAAAUAAGCAUUUUGAUGAGAGAUGGGCCAGUUCAGUGUUCUGUGCCA
Molecule: long non-coding RNA, 1131 nt
Filed under: Pogona vitticeps (central bearded dragon)
Lineage: Eukaryota; Metazoa; Chordata; Lepidosauria; Squamata; Agamidae
Description: lncRNA (ENSPVIG00000009791.1)
Source: RNAcentral